GAUGAACGCUGGCGGCGUGCCUAAUACAUGCAAGUCGAGCGAACAGACGAGGAGCUUGCUCCUCUGACGUUAGCGGCGGACGGGUGAGUAACACGUGGAUAACCUACCUAUAAGACUGGGAUAACUGCGGGAAACCGGAGCUAAUACCGGAUAAUAUAUUGAACCGCAUGGUUCAAUAGUGAAAGACGGUUUUGCUGUCACUUAUAGAUGGAUCCGCGCCGCAUUAGCUAGUUGGUAAGGUAACGGCUUACCAAGGCAACGAUGCGUAGCCGACCUGAGAGGGUGACCGGCCACACUGGAACUGAGACACGGUCCAGACUCCUACGGGAGGCAGCAGUAGGGAAUCUUCCGCAAUGGGCGAAGGCUUGACGGAGCAACGCCGCGUGAGUGAUGAAGGUCUUCGGAUCGUAAAACUCUGUUAUUAGGGAAGAACAAAUGUGUAAGUAACUAUGCACGUCUUGACGGUACCUAAUCAGAAAGCCACGGCUAACUACGUG
RNAcentral lists this ribosomal RNA (497 nucleotides) under uncultured bacterium. RNAcentral describes it as "partial 16S ribosomal RNA". It matches the Rfam family "Bacterial small subunit ribosomal RNA", at positions 28 to 507 of the family's 1533-position model. The record is from RNAcentral.